UGGGGAAUUUUGGACAAUGGGCGCAAGCCUGAUCCAGCCAUACCGCGUGAGUGAAGAAGGCCUUCGGGUUGUAAAGCUCUUUCAGACGGAAAGAAACGGUUACGGCUAAUACCCGUGACUAAUGACGGUACCGUAAGAAGAAGCACCGGCUAACUACGUGCCAGCAGCCGCGGUAAUACGUAGGGUGCGAGCGUUAAUCGGAAUUACUGGGCGUAAAGCGUGCGCAGGCGGUUUGGUAAGACAGAUGUGAAAUCCCCGGGCUUAACCUGGGAACUGCAUUUGUGACUGCCAGACUAGAGUGUAGCAGAGGGGGGUAGAAUUCCACGUGUAGCAGUGAAAUGCGUAGAUAUGCGGAGGAACACCGAUGGCGAAGGCAAUCCCCUGGACCUGUACUGACGCUCAUGCACGAAAGCGUGGGGAGCAAACAGGAUUAGAUACCCUAGUAGUCCCUGAGCGGGCUGGCAAGGCGCAU
This 472-nucleotide ribosomal RNA is filed under the name uncultured bacterium. RNAcentral's name for it is "bacterial SSU rRNA". It matches the Rfam family "Bacterial small subunit ribosomal RNA", at positions 355 to 825 of the family's 1533-position model. The record is from RNAcentral.